CUAGAACAAAAAGAAUCUCAAAUGUAUCAAUUAACAUAUUAUUAUAUAUAAAUUCCCAUUAAUUGCUAAGACUAUUUUUUUUUUAUCUAAAUUGCUCUAUUUAUAGUUAUCAAUAUCAUGGUUUAGAACAUGUCCAUGAAUUACAGUUUAUAUGAGACAUACUUAGAAUAUUAGCAAUAUGGAAAUGAUUCACAAUUGCUAUUAGUUGUGGCUACAUAUUCCAUAAUAUUAAUACAGUGUGCCUGUAGUUGCCUUUCAUGAGAUGGGAUUUUAUGUUUAUAGUGAGGAACCAUUUUUUAUGAAUACAUUACUUGUGAUAAUGUUUUUUUAAAAACACUGAUACAUGUAGUUCCAUGUGAAGAAGGCAAAAUCAUGAAAAAGAAAAAAAAAAGAAAAUCCUAGAACAUUUUAACAAGAAACAAGACACAUUUUAAAAAUGGCACAAAGGUAGAAUCAAUACAUCAAUAUUCAUAAUAGUUAUUUACUAACAAUAAACUAUAUCCAAUCUCAAUGAUUUUACAGUAUUUGGUCAAAUUCAUCAAGGCAGAAAAAUAAAUUGAGAUUUAUUUUUUGAGAUCACAGAUAUAUAUCAUAUAUUCAUCACAUAUCACAUCAUUUCUAAUCAUGAUUAUUCAAGAAAAAAUGUAUGGACAGAUAGCCAGGAUUUUGUUUCUUAAAGCUGAGAGAGAAAGUUUCUAAUAAUAGAAAUGAGGAGUAACAGAUACGAAAUCGGUACCCCACACACAAGCAAGGUAAUGGAUUUAUAAAGAAAACAGCACAAUAUAUUAGGUGCUCAUUGGAAUUGUUUGGUGAAGAUUUUGAGAAAGUUUCAUUAAGUUCUGAUUAGGGUGAAAGAUACAUAAUAUGUCAUUUCAAAGUUAUGAUUAUGAUUAUGAUUAUGUUUAAGCUACACAAAAUUCCAUGUAGCUGGUUAGAACCAGAAUACAAUGUGGAAUAUUUUCAUAUGGACAAACCAACUGUUCUAAUUAAUUGCAAACCAACAAGACUUUUUAUAAAAGCUAC
Molecule: long non-coding RNA, 1023 nt
Filed under: Mytilus galloprovincialis (Mediterranean mussel)
Lineage: Eukaryota; Metazoa; Mollusca; Bivalvia; Mytilida; Mytilidae
Source: RNAcentral